This 253-nucleotide ribosomal RNA is filed under the name uncultured bacterium. Its description in RNAcentral is "partial 16S ribosomal RNA". It matches the Rfam family "Bacterial small subunit ribosomal RNA", at positions 524 to 776 of the family's 1533-position model. The record is from RNAcentral.
UACGUAGGGGGCAAGCGUUGUCCGGAAUCAUUGGGCGUAAAGAGCGUGUAGGCGGACUUAAAGGUCUGGUGUGAAAGCCCGGGGCUCAACCCCGGAGGGUCACUGGAAACCAUAAGUCUUGAAUCUGGAAGAGGAGAGUGGAAUUCCUGGUGUAGCGGUGGAAUGCGCAGAUAUCAGGAGGAACACCAAUGGCGAAGGCAGCUCUCUGGUACGUGAUUGACGCUGAGACGCGAAAGCGUGGGGAGCGAACAGG